GGUUAAGCGACUAAGCGUACACGGUGGAUGCCCUGGCAGUCAGAGGCGAUGAAGGACGUGCUAAUCUGCGAUAAGCGUCGGUAAGGUGAUAUGAACCGUUAUAACCGGCGAUUUCCGAAUGGGGAAACCCAGUGUGUUUCGACACACUAUCAUUAACUGAAUCCAUAGGUUAAUGAGGCGAACCGGGGGAACUGAAACAUCUAAGUACCCCGAGGAAAAGAAAUCAACCGAGAUUCCCCCAGUAGCGGCGAGCGAACGGGGAGCAGCCCAGAGCCUGAAUCAGUGUGUGUGUUAGUGGAAGCGUCUGGAAAGGCGCGCGAUACAGGGUGACAGCCCCGUACACAAAAAUGCACAUGCUGUGAGCUCGAUGAGUAGGGCGGGACACGUGGUAUCCUGUCUGAAUAUGGGGGGACCAUCC
RNAcentral lists this ribosomal RNA (418 nucleotides) under Escherichia coli. RNAcentral describes it as "partial 23S ribosomal RNA". It matches the Rfam family "Bacterial large subunit ribosomal RNA", at positions 1 to 458 of the family's 2925-position model. The record is from RNAcentral. Lineage: Bacteria; Pseudomonadati; Pseudomonadota; Gammaproteobacteria; Enterobacterales; Enterobacteriaceae.